Molecule: non-coding RNA, 73 nt
Organism: Agrilus planipennis (emerald ash borer)
Lineage: Eukaryota; Metazoa; Arthropoda; Insecta; Coleoptera; Buprestidae
Source: Rfam
UCUCUCGUAGCUUAGUAGUCAAAGCAUUGGUGCGUAAAGCCAAAGGUCCCGGGUUCGAUUCCCGGCGAAGGUG